GCAGAAGAAGAAGAAUUGGUCUCAGAAGCCAUGGAAAUCAGAGAAUUAGAGCGGAAGAAACUGUUUGGUUGAUGAGAAAAGCACUGUUUGGUAGGUGAGAAAAUCACAGGUUGGAAGAAAAGGGAGAGAGGAUCGAAUAGGCGUAUGAUACCAUAAAGGAAUUUAUGAUUCUCAUUAAUUAAUUGAGAAAAGAUUACAGAAGAGUAUUUAACACUUGUCUACUCUAUACAAUAGAUAAAGCCACCUGUACAGGCUGUUACAACAGCUCUAACUAAUUACUUACAAGAGUAACUAAUAACAAACUAAUUUAAUCAGCUAACUACUCUCUUUAUAUAUAACAAAGACCCAUUCGGGGAUGCAUUAUAUAUAUAUAUAUAUAUAUAUAAAGCAAGUUUUUAUCUGCCCAUCUCGUUUCCUUGUCAUCAAGUUUCAAAUAUUAACAAGAAAGCAUUAGAAAGAAAAAAAAAAGAAAAAGAAAAAGAAAGCAACUGGACAGAUUUGAGCUAUGAAAAUACGAGGACAAAAGAUUGUGUAUACUAACACUUGUGAAAGCGUAGAGCUAACUAAUGCAUUGUUCUCCAUUUCAUGCGCGUGUCCGGCUUUGUCUAGUCUAGUCCUUCAAGUUUCGGAAGAAGAAGGCCUUUUAUACUAGAAUCGCACAAUGAUAUAGAGAUGGUAUAGAUAUGGAAAGAUCCUCGCUGUACUUAAAGACAAAAUCUUUCAUCAAGGCAUCAAACUAAUUGUGUAUAAUUCAUUUUGACUUUUGACUUGCAACGAUUGGAGACUGGCUAUAGCUAAUUAGUGCGAGGACAUUUAGGCUCUAAUUACAUUCAAAGACUACCUUUUCAUAUUUCUCAUUGGUCACCUUGGCAUAUGACCAUCUAGAUAGAGAGAGAGAGAGAGAGAGAGAGAGAGAGCCCCUCAAAGACUUGCCUUUUGACGUGUCACCAUUUAAAGAGAGCCCUCAAAGACUGCCCUAUAUUGAGAUGAGACAAGAGUUUCAAAUGUUUCAUCCAAUGUGGAACAUACCUAGAAGUUCAUUCCUUUUCAUAUUUCUCAUUGGUCACAAGCCAUCUUUAUUUAAUCUUGCGUUGUUGGGUCAUGGUCAAGUAUAGGUGACUAAAAUGCAUACAAUUCUGCUUGUUAAAAUCAACCAUUACAUUAAAUAAUAUUUUUCUUUUUUCUUUUUUUCUUUUUUUUUUUUUGCCAAAUAUAUAUGUGUGUAUUCUUUUCACAUGGAGAGAAUAAUUUUAUAGACUUGAAUAGUCAAUGAAUCUUUUCUCGUCUUCAUAUGCUUUAAAACAAGGUCAUGAUGAGACAUCUCAUCUCAAGGUUAUCUUUUGUUUGGGGAAUUAGGAUAGUCAUCCUUUAGACCAUCACAUGGCGGAAUCAUGAAUUUAUUUAGGAUCUGGCUUCUUUUUUUUUCUUGACUUCUUUCAUAAUAUAAUAUAUAAUAAUUUAAAUUGUCCAAAUUUUUUUUUUGGUAGGGGGAUAAAGCCCGAAAACAGCAUAACUAAACGCGAAUGAGGCUUAUAGUUUAGUUAAAUUUAGUAAUUCAUUUUCAAAACACUGACACAAAUAAGUACAACCAAACCCCAAAAAAAAAAAACACACACACACACAUAAAUCAGUAAAACUAAAAAUUG
RNAcentral lists this long non-coding RNA (1646 nucleotides) under Prunus persica (peach). RNAcentral's name for it is "long non-coding RNA (PPER_LNC003890)". The record is from RNAcentral. Lineage: Eukaryota; Viridiplantae; Streptophyta; Magnoliopsida; Rosales; Rosaceae.